GGGUUGUGAGGUUAAGCGACUAAGCGUACACGGUGGAUGCCCUGGCAGUCAGAGGCGAUGAAGGGCGUGCUAAUCUGCGAUAAGCGCCGGUAAGGUGAUAUGAACCGUUAUAACCGGCGAUACCCGAAUGGGGAAACCCAGUGUGAUUCGUCACACUAUCAUUAACUGAAUCCAUAGGUUAAUGAGGCGAACCGGGGGAACUGAAACAUCUAAGUACCCCGAGGAAAAGAAAUCAACCGAGAUUCCCCCAGUAGCGGCGAGCGAACGGGGAGGAGCCCAGAGCCUGAAUCAGCAUGUGUGUUAGUGGAAGCGUCUGGAAAGGCGCGCGAUACAGGGUGACAGCCCCGUACACAAAAGCGCAUGUGCUGUGAGCUCGAUGAGUAGGGCGGGACACGUGGUAUCCUGUCUGAAUAUGGGGGGACCAUCCUCCAAGGCUAAAUACUCCUGACUGACCGAUAGUGAACCAGUACCGUGAGGGAAAGGCGAAAAGAACCCCGGCGAGGGGAGUGAAAAAGAACCUGAAACCGUGUACGUACAAGCAGUGGGAGCACAGGUUUACCUGUGUGACUGCGUACCUUUUGUAUAAUGGGUCAGCGACUUAUAUUCUGUAGCAAG
This 615-nucleotide ribosomal RNA is filed under the name Salmonella enterica. Its description in RNAcentral is "bacterial LSU rRNA". It matches the Rfam family "Bacterial large subunit ribosomal RNA", at positions 1 to 644 of the family's 2925-position model. Lineage: Bacteria; Pseudomonadati; Pseudomonadota; Gammaproteobacteria; Enterobacterales; Enterobacteriaceae. RNAcentral also lists the same sequence under 1 other name. The record is from RNAcentral.